This 1675-nucleotide long non-coding RNA is filed under the name Helianthus annuus (common sunflower). RNAcentral's name for it is "hypothetical non coding rna". The record is from RNAcentral. Lineage: Eukaryota; Viridiplantae; Streptophyta; Magnoliopsida; Asterales; Asteraceae.
UUGCGACGCAACCCUUCGCCUUCCCCUGCUUUACCAAAAAAAUUCAACUUACAACCCGGAUGAAAAAUUGGGAAUGGUUAUACAUAUAUCUUACCAAUGCACGAAUCAAACAGAAAAACACUGGCAAUAAUUAUUUCCUCUCUACUUCCCUCUCUUCGUGUGUUGAUUCAGUCUCCUGUAAUCGAUUUUGAUUCAUCCUGGUUUACUUGAAGCACUUGCAAACGAUCUAUAUCGCACAAUCUUCGUUCCUUUUGACAGCAAUAUUCUAGGGGUAUCAGGAUUGUGGGUAUAAAAUGAUGCAUUUACAAGGGAGGAGAUGGGAUGCAAAAGGGAUCGAAUAAGGGUUCGCUUAUGAUGUUGGAACCACUUUUGAAUCUUAUGGUAUUUUCACGGCAGCCAUGGCGUAUUGUAUUAAUUUCCCACGAUUGUUGGGAACAUCUUUUCUGCAAUUUUCACCUUUUCUUCGCAUUAGGUGCAUUGACUGGUGUUUUGAUUGGUCAAGAAAGAGAGAAUGGGUGCGUUAUUUGGAGCCAUUUCGGGUGUGGUUGUUUCGAUUGAAGUUUCGAAUCUGCUCUUUUUUUGUGGCACUCUGAUGAGUCUGGGAUCAGAUGCAUUCUAUACUUGUAUAUUGUGAAGAUAAAGUGAAGCCAUCCAAGAGACAAAGUUUAGUCAAGGGGAAGUUCAGAUGAGUGCCAAGGUUAGGAUAAUCAAUAAUAACAUUGGUGUGGUAACUAUUUUUUUUUUUUUUUUUUUGUAACAACUAAACUUUGCCCCCCUUUAAUACUAUACUAAAUUACACCUCUCAAGAAUUGAACCUUGAUCUCCCUACAAGAGGUAGCUAUUGAUAUAUGAUUUUUGUCAAUGCUAGAUGAUCUUGAACCAAAUUGUAAAUGACCUUCAGUCAUGAAUAUUAUUUGGUUAAUCAAUGAUUGUAUUAUAUCAUCUUAUUGUUUCAGUUGCUAUUAACAUGAUUAAAAUCGUUUCUUAACUUUUGGUCCAUGUUAGUUUGGGAUAAUAUUAAAAUGGUUGAUGUGUUGGUGUUGGUGAUGAUUUUUGACAUGUUGCUGCUUCUAUUGUUGUUUAUUAUAGUUUUGUCUAAAUUUUUUUCUUCAUCCUUGAAUAGUUUGAUUUGGGGUAUUCAAGAAUAAUUCAGUUGUAGUGAUGGAAAUAUCAUCAUUCAUUAAAGUUCAUUUAUGAUCAUACAACCAUUAAAACAUACAUACAAGAAAGUUUAAAAAUGCAUACAUUAUUAUGUGAUAAAUAUAUUGCGUAUUGUACUCCCCGUUAAAAAAGAUGUUUGAACCAAAACGCCUUAGUGUGGUGUUAUAGGCUGGAGGUUAGGCAAAAUGAAAAGAAUGUUUUAUGUUUUCAUAUCUAAUAUAGUGAUACCAAAGACUUUCGUAAUUGACAUCCCGCUGCAACGCGCGGGUUAGCGUUCACUCGUUUAUUAUGUAAUGCAACCAAGACCAACAAGCACUGGACUAACACACAUCAUCAACAGAAUAACAUGAUCAGCGUAAAGAACAAAACUAACCCUUUUACCAUAAACCACAAAACAUUUUAAAAAAACAAAUACAACUCAUAUGACAAAUAGACAUUCGAUUAUUCUCAUCAAGAGACUUUGAGCAGUCAAGGACCCUCUUUUUUUUAAAAAAAACAAUUUAGCAUUUAGAAA